RNAcentral lists this ribosomal RNA (814 nucleotides) under uncultured bacterium. RNAcentral describes it as "bacterial SSU rRNA". It matches the Rfam family "Bacterial small subunit ribosomal RNA", at positions 56 to 861 of the family's 1533-position model. The record is from RNAcentral.
UGCAAGUCGAGCGGUAGCACAGAGAGCUUGCUCUCGGGUGACGAGCGGCGGACGGGUGAGUAAUGUCUGGGAAACUGCCUGAUGGAGGGGGAUAACUACUGGAAACGGUAGCUAAUACCGCAUAAUGUCGCAAGACCAAAGUGGGGGACCUUCGGGCCUCAUGCCAUCAGAUGUGCCCAGAUGGGAUUAGCUAGUAGGUGGGGUAAUGGCUCACCUAGGCGACGAUCCCUAGCUGGUCUGAGAGGAUGACCAGCCACACUGGAACUGAGACACGGUCCAGACUCCUACGGGAGGCAGCAGUGGGGAAUAUUGCACAAUGGGCGCAAGCCUGAUGCAGCCAUGCCGCGUGUAUGAAGAAGGCCUUCGGGUUGUAAAGUACUUUCAGCGAGGAGGAAGGCGUUAAGGUUAAUAACCUUAGCGAUUGACGUUACUCGCAGAAGAAGCACCGGCUAACUCCGUGCCAGCAGCCGCGGUAAUACGGAGGGUGCAAGCGUUAAUCGGAAUUACUGGGCGUAAAGCGCACGCAGGCGGUCUGUUAAGUCAGAUGUGAAAUCCCCGGGCUCAACCUGGGAACUGCAUUUGAAACUGGCAGGCUUGAGUCUUGUAGAGGGGGGUAGAAUUCCAGGUGUAGCGGUGAAAUGCGUAGAGAUCUGGAGGAAUACCGGUGGCGAAGGCGGCCCCCUGGACAAAGACUGACGCUCAGGUGCGAAAGCGUGGGAAGCAAACAGGAUUAGAUACCCUGGUAGUCCACGCUGUAAACGAUGUCGACUUGGAGGUUGUUCCCUUGAGGAGUGGCUUCCGGAGCUAACGCGUU